Vicugna pacos (alpaca) is the source of this 833-nucleotide non-coding RNA. The record is from RefSeq and is a predicted model, not a curated record. NCBI's taxonomy places the organism in Eukaryota, Metazoa, Chordata, Mammalia, Artiodactyla, Camelidae.
UCACUGGCGAAACAGGGAUUAAGAGUGGCACUGCUUUCACAGGGUUGCCCUCAGGAUUAAGGGAUAGAAGUCGCGUAAAGUCCCCGGGAUCAGGCAGUGCCGUCACUGACUAUAGUCCCCCUACCUCCCGUGGCCCUGCACUGGGCACUCUCUAAACCUCAGCUGACUAGUAUGUAAAACAGGAAUGACCAUAAUGAUAGCGAGUAAAUGAGAAAGCAGAACUGCGUUCUAAUCCGCGGUUUGCGUCCACGGGCGUCUGCGGGGCUGCGACGUGAUUCAGACUCACCGAGCCGGGGCGGGGAUUCCGGGGCCCGCCCGCCGACCCACCGAAACCCUCCGCGGGGCAGAGCGGGGAGGACCACCUCCGGCAGGAGGGAUUCGGCCCCACCCCCGACCCCCACCCCCUACCUUUUCCCUUCAGGAGAGUCUGUCGUGGGUUCAUCUGAGAGGCUUGUGGUAGGCCCUGUGGCUCUAAAGAUGAGUAACUCACGGCUCCUGGACCCAAGAAACUCAUGAACUAGUGAAGACAACAUGAUCCAGACUGAGAAAGGCGUCCGGAUGUUUGGGCUUUUCCUGCUGAGGUCAAAGAUACAACACAAACCUCGGACAUCGUACCUGCUCCUGACCUGCCUCCAGAGCCUCCUCUCUCCUCCGUCGAGACUCUUGACACACCCGCUAGUGGGCUCCCAUGAAACACCGGGACUUCCCUGCCUCUGCACCUUUGAGUAUGCCCUUCACCCUUCGCCAUCAGGUAAACUCCUAUUCACCCUCAAAUGGCCAGUUCAGAGGUUAUCUUCUGUGGGAGGCUGAACAAGAGGACCCCCAAAGAUACA